Molecule: ribosomal RNA, 253 nt
Filed under: uncultured bacterium
Lineage: Bacteria
Description: partial 16S ribosomal RNA
Rfam family: Bacterial small subunit ribosomal RNA
Source: RNAcentral
UACGAAGGGGGCUAGCGUUGCUCGGAAUUACUGGGCGUAAAGCGCACGUAGGCGGCUUUGCAAGUUAGAGGUGAAAGCCCGGAGCUCAACUCCGGAAUUGCCUUUAAAACUGCAUCGCUAGAAUUGUGGAGAGGUAAGUGGAAUUCCGAGUGUAGAGGUGAAAUUCGUAGAUAUUCGGAAGAACACCAGUGGCGAAGGCGACUUACUGGACACAUAUUGACGCUGAGGUGCGAAAGCGUGGGGAGCAAACAGG